This 40-nucleotide ribosomal RNA is filed under the name Diaporthe eres. RNAcentral's name for it is "partial 18S ribosomal RNA". RNAcentral also lists the same sequence under 12 other names. The record is from RNAcentral. Lineage: Eukaryota; Fungi; Ascomycota; Sordariomycetes; Diaporthales; Diaporthaceae.
CUGGAACGCGCCCCAGGCGCACCCAGAAACCCUUUGUGAA